UACAGAGACUGCAAGCGUUAUUCGGAUUCACUGGGCGUAAAGGGUGCGCAGGCGGCCGUGUGUGUGAGGCGUGAAAGCCUGGAGCUUAACUCCAGAAUUGCACUUCAAACUACACGGCUAGAGCAUUGGAGAGGGUAGCAGAAUUCACGGUGUAGCAGUGAAAUGCGUAGAUAUCGUGAGGAAUACCAGAGGCGAAGGCGGCUACCUGGACAAUUGCUGACGCUCAGGCACGAAAGCGUGGGGAGCAAAAGGG
This 253-nucleotide ribosomal RNA is filed under the name uncultured bacterium. Its description in RNAcentral is "partial 16S ribosomal RNA". It matches the Rfam family "Bacterial small subunit ribosomal RNA", at positions 524 to 776 of the family's 1533-position model. The record is from RNAcentral.